UACGGAGGGUGCAAGCGUUAUCCGGAUUCACUGGGUUUAAAGGGUGCGUAGGUGGGUUGGUAAGUCAGUGGUGAAAUCUCCGAGCUUAACUUGGAAACUGCCGUUGAUACUAUCAAUCUUGAAUCUCGUGGAGGUAAGCGGAAUAUGUCAUGUAGCGGUGAAAUGCUUAGAUAUGACAUAGAACACCGAUAGCGAAGGCAGCUUGCUACACGAGUAUUGACACUGAGGCACGAAAGCGUGGGGAUCAAACAGG
This 253-nucleotide ribosomal RNA is filed under the name uncultured bacterium. RNAcentral describes it as "partial 16S ribosomal RNA". It matches the Rfam family "Bacterial small subunit ribosomal RNA", at positions 524 to 776 of the family's 1533-position model. The record is from RNAcentral.